This 497-nucleotide ribosomal RNA is filed under the name uncultured bacterium. RNAcentral's name for it is "partial 16S ribosomal RNA". It matches the Rfam family "Bacterial small subunit ribosomal RNA", at positions 28 to 507 of the family's 1533-position model. The record is from RNAcentral.
GAUGAACGCUGGCGGCGUGCCUAAUACAUGCAAGUCGAGCGAACAGACGAGGAGCUUGCUCCUCUGACGUUAGCGGCGGACGGGUGAGUAACACGUGGAUAACCUACCUAUAAGACUGGGAUAACUUCGGGAAACCGGAGCUAAUACCGGAUAAUAUAUUGAACCGCAUGGUUCAAUAGUGAAAGACGGUUUUGCUGUCACUUAUAGAUGGAUCCGCGCCGCAUUAGCUAGUUGGUAAGGUAACGGCUUACCAAGGCAACGAUGCGUAGCCGACCUGAGAGGGGGAUCGGCCACCCUGGAACUGAGACACGGACCAGACGCCUACGAGAGGCAGCAGUAGGGAAUCUUCCGCAAUGGGCGAAAGCCUGACGGAGCAACGCCGCGUGAGUGAUGAAGGUCUUCGGAUCGUAAAACUCUGUUAUUAGGGAAGAACAAAUGUGUAAGUAACUAUGCACGUCUUGACGGUACCUAAUCAGAAAGCCACGGCUAACUACGUG